Long non-coding RNA from Notolabrus celidotus (New Zealand spotty), 1317 nucleotides. RefSeq lists it as uncharacterized. NCBI's taxonomy places the organism in Eukaryota, Metazoa, Chordata, Actinopteri, Labriformes, Labridae. The record is from RefSeq and is a predicted model, not a curated record. The transcript has 6 exons.
GUCCCUGAAUGUACCUGAAGGAUGACCGUUGGCACCGGAAGUGAUAACUUUCCGCCAUUUUUAAUUCUUAUUUUAAUGGUUACCUUCAUGUGUGCUAAUUGGAACCCACCUGUCAACCUGUUGAAGUUAUUUUAAAGAGUGUAACUUUAACUAUUUUACAUAAAUGUCCUGUCAAUGUGAAGCUAAUGUAGGGUGAGCUAACGGCUCCUUUACGUUAAUUAACAAGCUAGCUUGUGUAACAUGGAGGACGUUCAUAAGCUUGCUAGCUUGUUUUAUGGUUUAACAUUACCUGGUUAGACAGCCAAAGCCUCCCUUCGAACAGCAUUACUCCUGAGAUGCCACGGGGUCAGAGCGAGUUGAAUCUUAUGUCAGGCCUGUCCCCACGUUGACCUGCGCCUGACUGGCCUCCCAGCAAAAAGCCCCUGUGAAGGCGCUCUGUUUCACAGGCUGACCGUCAGACUGAUGGAGGUGGAGGAGGAGGAGGUGGAGGUGGUGAUGUGAGGGGGAUCGAUAGGCGGCUGCUUUGAUCUCUCAUCUUCACGUUCAGCUCGAUCGCUCUGAUUGGCUCUGAGAGACCCCUCCACGAUCAGCGCAAAGAACUCCGGGAGGAAAAGCUCAUCCAUCAUCCUGAGGGCCGGUCUGAGGCGCCCUCUGCUGGAGGAGCAGCUGUACUACAGAGGUGCGAGCUCGUCCUGAUUGUCGACGCCUGAGGUUCACGAGGACGUGCAGAGGGAAGGAGGGUUCACACGCGCUUCUAAUCAGAUCAUCAUCAUCAUCCUCUGCUACACCUUCAUCACCAGAGAUCAAUGGAAACUAACAUCCCGUUAAAAAUGAAAUAAACAGCUUUUAAGGCCUCUCUACCUCCACGUCUCCUCACACACCCUGGAGGUCUAGCAGCAGCUUAAAUCCAGACCUCCUCCUGCUCCUCCUGCUCCUCCUGCUACUCCUCACUGGCCUUUCCAGAGCUGGGGGUUUCUGCGGGAGGAGGUUCGUAGGAUGUGAGAGAAGCCAGGCCUUCGGACCAUGGGGGCGCGGCUGGAGAUGACUGCUAGGUCCUGCAGGGCGGCGGGGUCGUGGGACGUGAGGGCGCUGCAGCGAAGGCCUCCUUUAGGGACGUGGUUUACGAGCGGGGCGCCGGGACGGGAGAAGGCAUUGGCAUGGGAGCUGCUCCUGCUGUCCUGCCGCACGGCCAGAGAGCUGCCGGCUGCCAAGGAGGGGACAGAGAGGGAGAGUGAGACGUCUGGGAGAAGACCAACUGGACCCAAAACAAUCAGGCUGAGAGGUUCAAUUAAAGCUAAUGUUAUUUUUAAAUGUUUA